Molecule: ribosomal RNA, 403 nt
Filed under: Fusobacteriota bacterium
Lineage: Bacteria; Fusobacteriati; Fusobacteriota
Description: Fusobacteria bacterium partial 16S ribosomal RNA
Rfam family: Bacterial small subunit ribosomal RNA
Source: RNAcentral
UGGGGAAUAUUGCACAAUGGAGGGAACUCUGAUGCAGCGACGCCGCGUGAACGAAGAAGGCUUUCGAGUCGUAAAGUUCUUUUAUAUGGGAAGAUAAUGACGGUACCAUAAGAAAAAGCCCCGGCUAACUACGUGCCAGCAGCCGCGGUAAUACGUAGGGAGCUAGCGUUGUCCGGAAUCACUGGGCGUAAAGGGUUCGCAGGCGGAAAUGCAAGUCAGGUGUAAAAGGCAGUAGCUUAACUACUGUAAGCAUUUGAAACUGCAUAUCUUGAGAAGAGUAGAGGUAAGUGGAAUUUUUAGUGUAGCGGUGAAAUGCGUAGAUAUUAAAAAGAAUACCGGUGGCGAAGGCGACUUACUGGGCUCAUUCUGACGCUGAGGAACGAAAGCGUGGGUAGCAAACAGG